Wyeomyia smithii (pitcher-plant mosquito) is the source of this 4122-nucleotide long non-coding RNA. RefSeq lists it as uncharacterized. The transcript has 3 exons. Lineage: Eukaryota; Metazoa; Arthropoda; Insecta; Diptera; Culicidae. The record is from RefSeq and is a predicted model, not a curated record.
CUCUCACAUGACGAAGGGAACAGCCGACGUGACUAUCCGAAAAAAUUAUGAACAUCAGAACGGAAAAUCGACAAACCUACAUACCGACAAACCUACAUACCGACAAACCUAUACACCGACAAACCAAUAAACCGACAAACCAUUAAAAAUGACAUCAAGUAAGAAUCUCCCACAAAUAAAAACAUAGUCAAACACAUACUAAGGCUAAUGACAUACUGAGGCGUCAAAUGAAGCGGAGCAAAAAGCGUCGCAAAAGCGUCUGAGCUGCUUCUUCGAACGUCUAUAUGAAACGCUCAAACCGGUCAUACUGGAGCGGCUAAGACGCGUCGCUAGAGGCGGCGAAACAGAACGAGUAGUGUUUUGACGCGCGUAUACGUACGCAGUAUACCAUAUUCAGACUAAAUCUUUAAUCGCCGGGUGCUUUAUAUUUUCUUUGUUUUGGUUUGGUAGUUGAAAAAAGCAAAUAAAAUACAUUUUUGUUUAGAAAAUGUUAGUGCAAUAAUACCAUGUUCAGACUAAACCUGAUAUCGCCAGGUGCUUUAUAUUUGCUUUUGGUCUUAAGUUUCAAAAAAUAAUAAGGAUAGAAAAUACUAUCGGGAAAAAUUUUUAGGUCGUCGGGAAAAUAACACUGAUAUUUUUGAUUGAUAUUGUUGGGUUUUGAAUCGAAUGGCCAGAAAUCUAGCAUGCUGAACUUCUUUGGUCGCGAAAAUGCAAGCCGCUGGGUAACUAGCUGUGCUCACAUGGGUUAUUCAAAUCCUAACAGAUAUAUAAUAUAAACUAGUUGAACGUUGCUCAGGGUCAACGGGAUUAAAAUUUAGAAAAAUUUCUUAUAUUUUUUGCUACGUCUGUAGCGCAAAUCACUUCAGAAAUAAUAUUUCAUUUCUUAAAAAAAUCCCUAUUUUUACUACCGUGCUUGAAGAAGCAAAAAAAUCUUCAUUGGACGAAUUCCUAUUUCCUUCAAACAAAACCGCUACUGGAAUCUAGGAAUAUGACAACACAACGCUUUUGCGACGCUCGCUCCAGUAUGUAAUAGUAAGCUUCACCUAACGCUUCUGUUUAUUCCGCUUCUCAUACGCUCAACGCUUCGCUUCAUUUUACGCCUCAGUAUGUCAUUGGCCUAAGACUUCACAACCCAAUAUCCAUAAAUACCUGUUCUCACAUCGAUAUAACUCCCUCUUUGUUUCUCUCUCCCCCUUUAUGUUCGCAUCACUGUCCCAAGUGGACAGCCCCAUCUGCAACUUGUCCAGCUACUAUUCUCCGACGACCAGUUACCAUUGAAGUACCCACGUGAAGAAGCAAAACUAUUGACCUCAUCAACCAUCACUCCAGUAUAUGUCAACAAAGGUAAUGUCAACAGUGUGGUAAGUAAAGCGGUGCAGGCCGGUAACAUAAGGUACGUUCCCUAUUUACAACACAUAACUGCCGUUGAAACCUUCAGUCCAGAGUAAAUUCGCUCACAUGUGCCUUAUUGGUCGCCAGCGACUGUUGCGUCAUGAAUUGCUCCUGGAGGUUUUGACAUUAUAACCUGGACCUAGUGCAGAAGUAAUUCGCUUACGGCGACCAGCUAGACUACCCAUCCUAAGAAGAAGAAGAAGAAGAAGAAGAAAAUAAAAUUAUCACUAUUAUCUCUUUUUUUAUAUUUUGUUAAAUCACAAUUUUCUCCAUUCAAUACCCCAAAGAUCCUGAUUUUAUUCUACUCCCCAAAAAAAAAAAAUCUUUUUUUUCCACAAAAGCGUUUAAAACUUCCUUUGAUCCAAGAAAAUGUUUUCCUUUGUUGUCACAAUUGCGCUCAAUUUCCUUUUAUUCCGUAUGACCGACCAUUCUUCUCAUCACAAUAGAUUUAAAAUUCCUUUUGUUUCACACAUUGGCCUUAUUGUUCUUCACAACAAUAGCACUCACAACCUCCUUUGUUCUUGAUAAUAGCUCUUUUUCGACACUACAAUGGCGCUCAAAAUUCUUUGUAUCACAUAAAGGCUUUUUUCCCUCCUCUUUUUACAAUUGCGAUCUAAUUCCCACACACUUUUCCUCUUUUGCUUAGAUAUAAUUUCUUGCCUUUUCUUUAAACACAAUAUAUAUUGCCCCUUUUUUUAAAAAAAAAUUACCGAUAUCGAACCAAUAUGCUUUUCACCCUUAUUCUUGUUUACGGCCGUAUCGCUUUCGUACGAAAGCAGCAGCGGCGUACGAAUGCGGUACUAACACAUACGAAUCCGAUUCGUUCUAACCAAUUCGAGCUUUCGAACAUCGUUGCUUUCGUACGAACGUGCCAUUCUUGUUUACGUACGAAUGCGUAUCCGUAUUCUUUUUGCUCUCGUUCGCAAACGUCAGUCAAAAGUUGCGAAUCGCUGUACGAAUCGCCGGCGCCGGUAGUUUUUUCUCGUUUUUCUGCCGUUUGGUGUUAGUUUUUUGAAAAAAAAAAUUAAUAAACCGAAUAGUUUUUAUUAUAUUGAUUUGUGAUAUUGAUUUGUGAAGUGUAAGUAAAUUCUAAAGAACAUUUGAGAAUAUCCAUUCUCAAAAAUCUCCAGUUGAUACAAAUCGCCGUCACCGAGGAAUGUUUUGGUUGUUUCGCGGAAAAAAGCCGCUAGAAACUGAUUGAGGUUUGCCGUUAGUUCUGGGAGAAUGAUGAUAGAAAAAGGAAUAAGUCGCUACCAUCAAGGUACUACAAAAAUCUGCCGAAUAUUUGGAUCGUCUUCCCGGCAACAGCAAAGAGUCAACCAGCAAGCAGAUUCUGAUUGGCGCAGAUAGUUGACUGGGUAACAUGAUACAGGAUAAAUAAUUUAUCAUUGCUCAAUUGGAUGCCGAUUUGUGUACUAGAAAUAAUCGAUCAGGAGCUGCUGGCUACUGGAGAUACAGGAGAUAACUUUGCUGGGUAAAUUAGGCAGUUUCCAACGCUUUUGAAAUUACCAGCAAAUAAGAAGACCAAGAAUACAACAAAGCAACCAAUUUCUUCGGAUGCCUCAAAUUUUCACAAUUUGGUCAAUGAACCACUACAUGCUACAAAGGACAGUUUUAAUUUUAUUUUAUUUAAUUUUAUUUUAUUUAAUAAUAUUUAUUAAUAUUAAGAUUAAGAUUUAAUAAUAUUUUUUUUUUUAAUAUUUUCAUAAUCGAUUAUUAUAUAUAUCUAGUUACGGUUCUGGCGUGAAGCACUUCAGUUUAUCUCCCAAGAGUGUUGGUCAUCCAAAGGGCUUCAAUUGUGGUCAAAAUUGCAAACAUGGAUUUUAGAUGAAAAUAACCAAACCGCCGUAUUUUUUUAUUAAGUCGUCAGAGUGACCAGCUCCGAAAUAGGGUGAUCCUAAUAAAAACAGCUUUAUUCAUUGUAUUUUAUCCUAAAAACAACAUAAUUUUUGAACCAGGUGAUUGAUUUUUGAUCUUUUUGGAUCAAAUCAACGUACAUUUUUAUAGUUUCAAGAAAAAAUACGAAAAAAAUAAAUCGGUGUGCUUUCAUUGUUUAGAAUUAAAGCAGCCAAAACAUCGUAAAACAACUUCUAUCCAUAAAAAAGUUAGAUAUUUGAUUUAAUCGAAAAUUUGGGUCACCCCAAUUUUUAAUCAUUUUUCAAUAAGCGCUUUAUCAUAAGUAACAACUUUGUAGAAGAAAGUUUUUCUCUAAAACUUUGCUAUCGAGCUCUAUAUCUAAAAUUCCCUAUAAAUUUCGGUUUUGGACCGCUGCACUGAUCAAUAACGACGUCGGCUGCACUACUUGGAAAGGGAAAGGAUGAUGAUGCUUGUUCUUUUAAUAGACCGCAAGUUCUACUGCAUUUCUACGAGUGUCACAAAUAGGAAUUGUUUUAAAAUGAGUGCCAAAAUCUGGUCACUUUUUUCAAAGACUGGACGAUUAGAAUAGUCAAAAAACGUUGCUGUGCCGUCUAGUUAGCCUAAGUGUAGUAAAUACAUCACAAACAUGUUACAUUUAGAACACUAAACAUUUCAAACAUCCUCGAGAUCGUUUUCUUCCAUGUAGCUUGAACAAACAUUGUGCAGAGCACAGCAGACAUUCACAAUUUUAGCCGCUUUAGCUGGAGCAUAAUGGAGCUGCCGAGAACCAAGAAUGCACCGGAAGCGAUUUUUCAAGACACCAAUAGUUCUUUCAAUGAUGCCUCUACCCAAGCUGUGCCUAGAAUUAAAAUC